AUUUCAAAGCUCUCGCCCGGGCAAGUUAGUGGCGGACGGGUGAGUAACGCGUGGAGAACCUGCCUUUAUCCGGGGGAUAACAGUUAGAAAUGACUGCUAAUACCGCAUAAGCGCACAUGGUCGCAUGGCCGAGUGUGAAAAACUCCGGUGGAUAGAGAUGGCUCCGCGUCAGAUUAGCCAGUUGGCGGGGUAACGGCCCACCAAAGCGACGAUCUGUAGCCGGCCUGAGAGGGCGACCGGCCACAUUGGGACUGAGACACGGCCCAAACUCCUACGGGAGGCAGCAGUGGGGAAUAUUGCACAAUGGGGGAAACCCUGAUGCAGCGACGCCGCGUGAGUGAUGAAGUAUUUCGGUAUGUAAAGCUCUAUCAGCAGGGAAGAAAAUGACGGUACCUGACUAAGAAGCCCCGGCUAACUACGUGCCAGCAGCCGCGGUAAUACGUAGGUGGCAAGCGUUGUCCGGAAUUACUGGGUGUAAAGGGAGCGCAGGCGGGACUGCAAGUUGGAUGUGAAAUACCGCAGCUUAACUGCGGAGCUGCAUCCAAAACUGUAGUUCUUGAGUGGAGUAGAGGUAGGCGGAAUUCCGAGUGUAGCGGUGAAAUGCGUAGAUAUUCGGAGGAACACCAGUGGCGAAGGCGGCCUACUGGGCUCUUACUGACGCUGAGGCUCGAAAGUGUGGGGAGCAAACAGGAUUAGAUACCCUGGUAGUCCACACUGUAAACGAUGAUUGCUAGGUGUGGGGGGUCUGACCCCUUCCGUGCCGGAGUUAACGCAAUAAGCAAUCCACCUGGGGAGUACGGCCGCAAGGUUGAAACUCAAAGGAAUUGACGGGGGCCCGCACAAGCAGUGGAUUAUGUGGUUUAAUUCGAAGCAACGCGAAGAACCUUACCAGGUCUUGACAUCCGACUAACGAAGCAGAGAUGCAUCAGGUGCCCUUCGGGGAAAGUCGAGACAGGUGGUGCAUGGUUGUCGUCAGCUCGUGUCGUGAGAUGUUGGGUUAAGUCCCGCAACGAGCGCAACCCUUACGGUCAGUUGCUACGGAAGAGCACUCUGGCCGGACUGCCGUUGACAAAACGGAGGAAGGUGGGGACGACGUCAAAUCAUCAUGCCCCUUACGCUCUGGGCUACACACGUACUACAAUGGCGCAAACAAAGAGUUGCGACCCCGCGAGGGUGAGCUAAUCUCAUAAAAGGCGUCCCAGUUCGGAUUGUAGGCUGAAACCCGCCUGCAUGAAGUUGGAAUUGCUAGUAAUCGUAGAUCAGCAUGCUACGGUGAAUACGUUCCCGGGCUUUGCACUCACCGCCCGUCA
RNAcentral lists this ribosomal RNA (1310 nucleotides) under uncultured bacterium. RNAcentral describes it as "bacterial SSU rRNA". It matches the Rfam family "Bacterial small subunit ribosomal RNA", at positions 69 to 1399 of the family's 1533-position model. The record is from RNAcentral.